RNAcentral lists this ribosomal RNA (484 nucleotides) under uncultured bacterium. RNAcentral's name for it is "partial 16S ribosomal RNA". It matches the Rfam family "Bacterial small subunit ribosomal RNA", at positions 30 to 507 of the family's 1533-position model. The record is from RNAcentral.
AUUGAACGCUGGCGGCAGGCCUAACACAUGCCAGUCGAGCGGAGGAAGGGAGCUGGCUCCUGGAUUCAGCGGCGGACGGGUGAGUAAUGCCUAGGAAUCUGCCUGGUAUUGGGGGAUAACGUCCGGAAACGGGCGCUAAUACCGCAUACGUUCUGAGGGAGAAAGUGGGGGAUCUUCGGACCUCACGCUAUCAGAUGAGCCUAGGUCGGAUUAGCUAGUUGGUGGGGUAAAGGCCUACCAAGGCGACGAUCCGUAACUGGUCUGAGAGGAUGAUCAGUCACACUGGAACUGAGACACGGUCCAGACUCCUACGGGAGGCAGCAGUGGGGAAUAUUGGACAAUGGGCGAAAGCCUGAUCCAGCCAUGCCGCGUGUGUGAAGAAGGUCUUCGGAUUGUAAAGCACUUUAAGUUGGGAGGAAGGGCAGUAAGUUAAUACCUUGCUGUUUUGACGUUACCAACAGAAUAAGCACCGGCUAACUUCGUG